Molecule: unclassified non-coding RNA, 329 nt
Filed under: soil metagenome
Description: partial contains 5.8S ribosomal RNA, internal transcribed spacer 2, and large subunit ribosomal RNA
Rfam family: 5.8S ribosomal RNA (bases 1-120)
Source: RNAcentral
GAUGAAGAACGCAGCGAAAUGCGAUAAGUAGUGUGAAUUGCAGAAUUCAGUGAAUCAUCGAAUCUUUGAACGCACAUUGCGCCCCUUGGUAUCCCGAGGGGCAUGCCUGUUCGAGCGUCAUUUCACCACUCAAGCCUGGCUUGGUGUUGGGCGACGUCCUCUUUGGGGACGCGCCUCGAAACGCUCGGCGGCGUGGCACCGGCUCUAAGCGUAGCAGAAUCUUUCGCUUUGGAAGUCGGGGCCCCGUCUGCCGGAAGACCUGCUCGCAAGGUUGACCUCGGAUCAGGCAGGGAUACCCGCUGAACUUAAGCAUAUCAAUAAGCGGAGGA